RNAcentral lists this long non-coding RNA (1032 nucleotides) under Pan troglodytes (chimpanzee). Its description in RNAcentral is "long non-coding RNA NONPTRT017015". The record is from RNAcentral. Lineage: Eukaryota; Metazoa; Chordata; Mammalia; Primates; Hominidae.
CGGGAAAGUCAAGUCAUAAAUCCCUGAAUCUAAAACUCCAUUCUCAGAGAAAAGGCCUCCAAGGACGGGCGCCGUGCGCGGCAACUGCCUGCAGUUUUGAAGCCCUUUGACUAUUUCAUAACAAAGACAAGGCCGGGCGGCUUGGACGCUUAGGAAAAUCCUGGGGCUUUGCAAAAACAACAGGUUAAUCUAGUCGUGUGGGAUGAUCACCAAAACAAGACAGGAAAGAAGAACACCGUGUCAAUGCUGAAAAGCCAGCCCCUAACACAGGGCUUCUACUCCAGGGUUUCCUCGCCAGGGAACCCCAAACACACAGGACCUGGAGAAGCCGGGUGGAGCUGGCUUCUGGCCCUGCGCUUGGGUGGUCGGCUGCCUUAAGAAGAACUGCACCCCAGAGACAGUCUCGCAGCUGCCGACCUUAUCCACUCGCCCUUUCUGCCGGAGCCCAGGCCCAGUGCUCCAGCAAGGAGGCUGAGAAAAUGCUGAAGACUGAUGCCCACGGGGGACAGCUUGGGCUAAGGAUAACGUUUGCAAAACAAACCUUUAAAAACCCAUAGCAACCUGUUUCCUAGAGCACACUCUUCAUCUCUCCACCCCCAAACUAGUCCCGACUCGGAUCCUCCUUUUCCUAUCCUCUUCCUCUUGCUCUCCCGUCUCCUAUUCACUUUUCCUCUCCUUUCCUCUUGAUUAUUAUAAACAAAUGCUUUCCAAGUCUUACCGCCAUCAUAUGUGUACAUAUGCAACCCUUACUGUUACCAAUUUGUUGAAGUCAAGACAGGAGGAGGCAAAGUUUAAAAAUCCGAAGCAUUGCAGGAAAUAAAAAUGGAGUGAGUGUUGCCUGGGUAUCAUAAAUUUUUUUUUUUUUAACAGUUCCUCUACUUGGCUCUCCUCCAAAGGUACGCGGCCACAGCAGGCAGGGGCUUGGCAGUGUGGGAGGAGACACCACAGAAGACAGGGAAGAACUACCAGGCCUUGGUUCAUCUCCACACUGGCGAGAGAGGAUGUGCAGAUGAUGAAGCUGGCCAGGCGCCG